This is a long non-coding RNA of Rhipicephalus microplus (southern cattle tick), 635 nucleotides long. NCBI's taxonomy places the organism in Eukaryota, Metazoa, Arthropoda, Arachnida, Ixodida, Ixodidae. The record is from RefSeq and is a predicted model, not a curated record.
AAACGUUUUGACACUUUGUCACCGUUAGAGUAUCGGCUGACGUCGCUGCAAGUGGGCAAGUUUAAACAGCCUUGGCCUGAUGCUGACUGGUCCCGCCGGAUUACUACUGACAUCAAGAGUUGACCGCAGCUGUGAUGUGCUGGGGGAGUGCGAAGACAACAAUGACCCUGGUCUCCAUCAUGUGCAUGUGAAAGUCGAUUGCUCAUUUCCCUGCAGUGGAUGAAUGGGUACAACCUUGUGUCAAGAUUCUUUGGCUUUCGGAAUGAGCUGCGCCAGCACAAGAUAGCCGCGUACAUUCCGGAUGUCACCGACCUUUCCAGCUGGGUAAAUAGCAGCAGAACCUCCGACGAGAUCACCAUGGGACUGGCAAGCGUCAGCCUAAUCUUCGACGUCCUCCUGUUAGCUGGAGCAGCAAGGGUAACGACCUGUCUUGUGUCUGCGUGAAAGUGGCGCUGACUGAGAGAGUUGUAGAUUUCUUUGAUCAUAAAGCAUUUCAAAUUAUAAACUGUUUCACUGUGCACAGCCCCUGGCGAUCGAAAUGUGUUUGCCUCAUACUUUUUAACAUGCGAUAAAUAAGUGAGUAUUGAGCUGUGACUACUCGCAUUUCCGAAAAAUAAAGAAGUAUACUACGUUGC